RNAcentral lists this ribosomal RNA (253 nucleotides) under uncultured bacterium. Its description in RNAcentral is "partial 16S ribosomal RNA". It matches the Rfam family "Bacterial small subunit ribosomal RNA", at positions 524 to 776 of the family's 1533-position model. The record is from RNAcentral.
UACAGAGGGUGCGAGCGUUGUCCGGAAUCACUGGGCGUAAAGGGCGCGUAGGUGGCGAGCCAAGUCCAUGGUGAAAGCUCGAUGCUCAACAUCGAGUCGGCCACGGAUACUGGUGCGCUGGAGCACUGUAGAGGCUCAUGGAAUUCCGGGUGUAGCGGUGGAAUGCGUAGAGAUCCGGAAGAACACCGGUGGCGAAGGCGGUGAGCUGGGCAGUUGCUGACACUGAGGCGCGACAGCGUGGGGAGCGAACAGG